GACGAACGCUGGCGGCGUGCUUAACACAUGCAAGUCGAACGGAAAGGCCCUGCUUUUGUGGGGUGCUCGAGUGGCGAACGGGUGAGUAACACGUGAGUAACCUGCCCUUGACUUUGGGAUAACUUCAGGAAACUGGGGCUAAUACCGGAUAGGAGCUCCUGCUGCAUGGUGGGGGUUGGAAAGUUUCGGCGGUUGGGGAUGGACUCGCGGCUUAUCAGCUUGUUGGUGGGGUAGUGGCUUACCAAGGCUUUGACGGGUAGCCGGCCUGAGGGGGUGACCGGCCACAUUGGGACUGAGAUACGGCCCAGACUCCUACGGGAGGCAGCAGUGGGGAAUAUUGCACAAUGGGCGGAAGCCUGAUGCAGCAACGCCGCGUGCGGGAUGACGGCCUUCGGGUUGUAAACCGCUUUCGCCUGUGACGAAGCGUGAGUGACGGUAAUGGGUAAAGAAGCACCGGCUAACUACGUGCCAGCAGCCGCGGUGAUACGUAGGGUGCGAGCGUUGUCCGGAUUUAUUGGGCGUAAAGGGCUCGUAGGUGGUUGAUCGCGUCGGAAGUGUAAUCUUGGGGCUUAACCCUGAGCGUGCUUUCGAUACGGGUUGACUUGAGGAAGGUAGGGGAGAAUGGAAUUCCUGGUGGAGCGGUGGAAUGCGCAGAUAUCAGGAGGAACACCAGUGGCGAAGGCGGUUCUCUGGGCCUUUCCUGACGCUGAGGAGCGAAAGCGUGGGGAGCGAACAGGCUUAGAUACCCUGGUAGUCCACGCUGUAAACGGUGGGUACUAGGUGUGGGGUCCAUUCCACGGGUUCCGUGCCGUAGCUAACGCUUUGAGUACCCCGCCUGGGGAGUACGGCCGCAAGGCUAAAACUCAAAGGAAUUGACGGGGCCCCGCACAAGCGGCGGAGCAUGCGGAUUAAUUCGAUGCAACGCGUAGAACCUUACCUGGGUUUGACAUGGAUCGGGAGUGCUCAGAGAUGGGUGUGCCUCUUUUGGGGUCGGUUCACAGGUGGUGCAUGGCUGUCGUCAGCUCGUGUCGUGAGAUGUUGGGUUAAGUCCCGCAACGAGCGCAACCCUUGUUCACUGUUGCCAGCACGUUAUGGUGGGGACUCAGUGGAGACCGCCGGGGUCAACUCGGAGGAAGGUGGGGAUGACGUCAAGUCAUCAUGCCCCUUAUGUCCAGGGCUUCACGCAUGCUACAAUGGCUGGUACAGAGAGUGGCGAGCCUGUGAGGGUGAGCGAAUCUCGGAAAGCCGGUCUCAGCUCGGAUUGGGGUCUGCAACUCGACCUCAUGAAGUCGGAGUCGCUAGUAAUCGCAGAUCAGCAACGCUGCGGUGAAUACGUUCCCGGG
RNAcentral lists this ribosomal RNA (1343 nucleotides) under uncultured bacterium. RNAcentral's name for it is "16S ribosomal RNA". It matches the Rfam family "Bacterial small subunit ribosomal RNA", at positions 28 to 1378 of the family's 1533-position model. The record is from RNAcentral.